AGAAUCAACGCUGGCGGCGUGCCUAACACAUGCAAGUCGCACGAGAAAGGGUAGCAAUACCUGAGUAAAGUGGCGCACGGGUGAGUAACACGUGAAUAAUCUACCUCCGAGUGGGGAAUAACUGAGAGAAAUCUUAGCUAAUACCGCAUAACACUUACGAGUCAAAGCAGCAAUGCGCUUGGAGAGGAGUUCGCGGCCGAUUAGUUAGUUGGCGGGGUAAUGGCCCACCAAGACGAUGAUCGGUA
Molecule: ribosomal RNA, 245 nt
Filed under: uncultured bacterium
Lineage: Bacteria
Description: partial small subunit ribosomal RNA
Rfam family: Bacterial small subunit ribosomal RNA
Source: RNAcentral